RNAcentral lists this unclassified non-coding RNA (349 nucleotides) under Hevea brasiliensis (rubber tree). Lineage: Eukaryota; Viridiplantae; Streptophyta; Magnoliopsida; Malpighiales; Euphorbiaceae. The record is from RNAcentral.
UGCUUGGAAGAACCAAAAUUUAUCGUCUUUUCUCCGAACAAGCCUGUGUAGUUCAGCGAAGACCUUCGCCAUGGGCUCGAGUCCUUUAACUCGGCAUAAUCCUCUGAAGGCCACCAGAGUUCGCCAGGAGUUCGGAUGCACUUGAGCUACUGAGACAUGGUGAAAUUUUAGGACAGCCUUGUAAAAUCCAUCCAAAGAAAAAUGGAGCCUGGACUUUAGCUACUCCUCGUACACUAUGAUAAGAUCGCCUUCUUCAAAGAAGUGAUCGGCCCGAAGAUCGCCAUGGCAUCUGAUCAGUUCAAAAGAGUCAAUCUGCAGAUUGUAUUCCUGACUUAUGGAUUGGAGAUCG